UACGUAGGCAGCGAGCGUUGUUCGGAAUUACUGGGCGUAAAGAGUGUGUAGGCGGUGCUCUAAGUUCGGUGUGAAAUCUCCUGGCUCAACUGGGAGGGUGCGCCGGAAACUGGAGUGCUUGAGCGUGGGAGAGGAAAGCGGAAUUCCUGGUGUAGCGGUGGAAUGCGCAGAUAUCAGGAGGAACACCGGUGGCGAAGGCGGGUCUCUGGGCCGUUACUGACGCUGAGGAGCGAAAGCGUGGGGAGCGAACAGG
This 253-nucleotide ribosomal RNA is filed under the name uncultured bacterium. RNAcentral describes it as "partial 16S ribosomal RNA". It matches the Rfam family "Bacterial small subunit ribosomal RNA", at positions 524 to 776 of the family's 1533-position model. The record is from RNAcentral.